Symphalangus syndactylus (siamang) is the source of this 531-nucleotide long non-coding RNA. RefSeq lists it as uncharacterized. NCBI's taxonomy places the organism in Eukaryota, Metazoa, Chordata, Mammalia, Primates, Hylobatidae. The record is from RefSeq and is a predicted model, not a curated record.
ACGAGACAGAAAAGAGGCCUACAGGAGCAACAACUAGUGGCAACGCAGAAAACAAGUGAGGAAGAUAGAAAAUGGACUCCUUUUGCUGGUUUGCAUGAAGACAUACUGAGCAUCUGGACAGGCUAGCUCCCAAAAAGGCAUUUUUGCAAACCACUUGAAAGCCACAUAAUUUUAUCCUUGUUUUGCUAAUCAGACAAAAUGCUUCCCAGGUCUCCCAUCUCUUCCUCUUCACUUCUAAACCACAGAAGUUGACUCCCAGCAUCCAAAAUUCAGAAAUGAACCUAACAUCAUCAUGAUCCAGUCUUAUUUUGCAUCAGGCCUCCAGCUGCAUCCACACUGCAGCAAAGGAUAUGAUUUCAUUCUUUUUUAUGGCUGCUCUGCCUUUUGUCUCUCCUAUCUCCCAUCCACAUGUUCAGCACUAACAUCCCAGAAGAACAGCUUGCAUUAAAAAGCUUCCUUGAUGAAAACUUUGAAACACUGUUCUGAAGACUCUCUGGAGCCUCUUUCUCAGCUCUAAAACUCUGGUGUUAU